RNAcentral lists this ribosomal RNA (411 nucleotides) under Triticum aestivum (bread wheat). RNAcentral's name for it is "partial small subunit ribosomal RNA". Lineage: Eukaryota; Viridiplantae; Streptophyta; Magnoliopsida; Poales; Poaceae. The record is from RNAcentral.
AUGAAAGUCAAACAAUCUAUGUUCAAUAGGACAAGAUUUGUUAUUGGAAAUGGUACAAGUACACGUUUCUGGGAGGAUACUUGGCUUGGAGACUCACCUUUAGCCAUUCAAUAUCCGUCUUUAUAUCGGAUUGCUCAACGACGUGAGGUGUUCGUGGCAACGGUAUUUCAAUCUGUCCCCCUUAAUAUUCAGUUUAGACAGUCGCUAGCGGGCAAUCGUUGGGAAGAAUGGCUCCAUCUAGUUAGGAGACUAAUGGAGGUUCAACUUUCUCACCAACCCGAUGUAUUACGCUGGAAGUUGACUAGUUUUGGAGUUUUUACAGUUAAAUCAAUGUAUAUUGAUGUUAUUAAUUCGAAUGCUAUUCCAACUUUCAAGUAUGUUUGGGCUGUCAAAGUUCCUUUUAAAAAUUAA